Molecule: non-coding RNA, 76 nt
Organism: Vibrio alginolyticus 12G01
Lineage: Bacteria; Pseudomonadati; Pseudomonadota; Gammaproteobacteria; Vibrionales; Vibrionaceae
Source: Rfam
AAUGGGUUCGGUGAUGGGGUACCACCGGAAUCGAAAGAUUCGAACCGCUGUUAAAGCUAAUGACUCCUACAGAAAC